AAAAAGAUAAACCUUGAUUUCCGUGUCCAACGUUUGACCGUCCGUCUUAUUAAAAAAUUUAUAAAAAAAAUUAAAAAAAACAAGUCACACAUAAAAUAUUAAUCAUGUUUUAUCAUUUAACAAUAAUAAAAAUACGAAUUAUAAAAAAAUUUCAUAUAAGACGGACAGUUAAAAUUGGACACGAAAACUCAAGGUUUGACUUUUU
RNAcentral lists this microRNA precursor (205 nucleotides) under Oryza nivara. Its description in RNAcentral is "MIR812 microRNA precursor family". It matches the Rfam family "MIR812 microRNA precursor family". The record is from Rfam by way of RNAcentral. Lineage: Eukaryota; Viridiplantae; Streptophyta; Magnoliopsida; Poales; Poaceae.